This is a long non-coding RNA of Ipomoea nil (Japanese morning glory), 479 nucleotides long. RefSeq lists it as uncharacterized. The record is from RefSeq and is a predicted model, not a curated record. The transcript has 4 exons. Lineage: Eukaryota; Viridiplantae; Streptophyta; Magnoliopsida; Solanales; Convolvulaceae.
UUCCUAAUCUUAUUAGUACUUUUUGAUCUUCCCUUGUCCCGUAUUCCUCCCAAACAUCAUUGGAUUUAAGAAAUUUGAGGAUCAUAUCGGAAAGAUGGGCAAGCUUUUGGAUUUGAAUCAUGCGACAUUUUUGCCGAUUCCACCUCCCCUGCCUCAUCGUACGCAGAAGAAACCUUUAUUCAUUAUCGGAGCAGACCAACGAGGAAACAGUGCCGCACCUUCGCCUCCUCGUCGAACCGCCGGAUGGAUCUUUUUUUCGAUGAAGGAUAUCGAGCCGAUGUCGCCAUUAGCACAGAUGACGGCGCUAUCAUCUAUGCACAUGCUAGUAUUCUCGGUGUGUCUUCGCCGGUUAUGAAAACAAUGUUGAGAAAACCAAGACGCAUGCGUGGCGAUCGGAUUGCAAUCUCGAUCCAUGAAGUUCCGUCCGAGGCUGUCUCCAUUUUUGUUCGCUUUUUGUAUUCUUCCUGCUAUAAUGAAGG